RNAcentral lists this long non-coding RNA (1086 nucleotides) under Oryctolagus cuniculus (rabbit). Its description in RNAcentral is "lncRNA (ENSOCUG00000036964.1)". Lineage: Eukaryota; Metazoa; Chordata; Mammalia; Lagomorpha; Leporidae. The record is from RNAcentral.
AUGAGCUCCGGCCUCCCCAGGGCUGCUGGAAGCCAGGCCCAUCCUGUUCUCUCGAUGCGCCCCACCCAGCACCGCAGCGCCCACCCCCUGAUGCCAAACAGCACUGGAAACACGGCCAGUCCAAAAGGAGAAGGCCUGCGAGUGUGCAAACACCAGACUUCAACAAGCCACUGCAAAAGUGCUAUCAAUGAUCUCGUACAUGACGUAUACGUGGGUUACAUGCCUCGGUCAUACGUUGGAUUUACAGGCACAAGUCCAAGCUCGCCACCAGCAAAGCCCCUCCAAACACCUCAGCCUGCUUCCAGGGGCUUCCUUCCCACCUAUACUCCCUCUCCCCAAAGUCCCUCGGGCUCCACUGCCCUCCGUGACCUUGACAGUCAAGGUCACGGAGGGAUUCAGGAAAAGCCGGCACCUGACCCCGCCUCCCUUCCUGCCACUGACUGCUCUCCCUCCUGCCACAGUCAAAGCAUCUGCAGGGUCCAAGCCCCCCCCCCACCCCGGCAUCUGCAGGGUCCGAGUUCCCCCACCCUCUAUCCCCCGCAGCCCCUCACCCUCCCUGACCUUGCUGCUACUGGGCCCCAGGACCCCACAGCUUCGACUGAACCAACCACCUGCAUGCUGCCUGCAAGGAGGCAAGGAAACCUUCCCACUCUGUGGACCAAACAGGAAGCAGCAUCGACUCCCCACCUCGGUAUCCCAGACACCGGUCCCCAGGAGACCCUUCUCCCACUACCCACUUCCUUCACUCACUGCAGGAGAGCUGCUCGCAGGCUCCCGGGUCAGCCAUCAUUCUGCCCAGUGGUCCCCCCCCACCCCACCCCUGCUGCUCCUGUCCAGGAAAAGCCAGGAUCAAGCUGCACUACAGGCAGCACAGGGGUGCCACAGCCACCUGCAGGCCAUGGCCUCAGGGCUCCUGUCCCCUGGAGCAGGGCCACCCAGAGAGGAGGACCAGCGGGGAGUCCCCACACGUGGGUCUGCUUUGUAGGCUCGAAGACACAGCCAAGGGAGGAAGGAGCCAACUGGGGUAGAAGCGAAAAUCUGCCCAUCAGCUGUUGGGAGGAAGUGAAACCCGACUUGGUGUGCUGA